UACGGAGGGAGCUAGCGUUGUUCGGAAUUACUGGGCGUAAAGCGCACGUAGGCGGCUUUGUAAGUUAGAGGUGAAAGCCCGGAGCUCAACUCCGGAACUGCCUUUAAGACUGCAUCGCUUGAAUCCAGGAGAGGUGAGUGGAAUUCCGAGUGUAGAGGUGAAAUUCGUAGAUAUUCGGAAGAACACCAGUGGCGAAGGCGGCUCACUGGACUGGUAUUGACGCUGAGGCGCGAAAGCUAGGGGAGCGAACGGG
Molecule: ribosomal RNA, 253 nt
Filed under: uncultured bacterium
Lineage: Bacteria
Description: partial 16S ribosomal RNA
Rfam family: Bacterial small subunit ribosomal RNA
Source: RNAcentral